This is a long non-coding RNA of Gallus gallus (chicken), 827 nucleotides long. The record is from Ensembl. Lineage: Eukaryota; Metazoa; Chordata; Aves; Galliformes; Phasianidae.
CUUCUUGGAAAGAGCUGCUGCAGAUUAGAAGGCUUUGAAGAGGGGCCAGUGUAGUGAAGUCAAGUCAGCCUACGAAGUGAGAAUCAUCCCAAGGAAGUAGGUGUUGAUAAAAGGCCGAAGCUCAAAUGGUACCCUUUUCAGAGGCCUAGAGAAAAGCAGGAAUUUGGAGGGAUCUUGUACUUGGCCUUUCCUUGUAAUAUAGUAGGUGUGCUACCCCUAAGUGCUGAGGAUAAUGUAAGAUAUAUCAACUUGGAAGUCACAGACAUCCUUUGAUGUCCUCCAGCAUGCUCCUGAAUCCUUCUCACUAAAGUGAAUCCCAUGAAUGCUCUGAAAUCCUGUAAACUGAACUAUUUUUAUGAGAGUAUUGCAUCACUGGCUAAUAAUUUUUUCAGCUUCGGGAUGACAGUUGUUUUCAGAUUUCUAACUUGACAGCUAUGUUGGAUUUUUUUAUGUCAGCUUUUUACAGUUCUUUCAUAUGUAUGUAUAUGUAUAUAUUUCCUUUUGUGGUUUUCAGUUUUGUAACAAUGUUUUGCAAUUGUAGCAGCUUUUUAAUUAAUAUUAGUCAAACUACCAAAAGUGUUCUCAAAUCUGAAUAUUUUCUGAAGAGCUAAAACUAUCACAGGACUACAGGCUAGCUGUUCAGGCACUUUACCAAAUAGUUGAACCUUUAUCUUUGACGAUAUUGCAGAGCUUUGUGUCUGGUUACUGUUCCAUAUUAAAGUGAAAUAAAACAUCAAUAAAUGCAGAGUUCCAUGGUACAGCUGCCUGUACCAGUUGAAAUCUGAAGUCCAGAUGUAAGCUGAAUGAAAGACAAAUGAAAGUCUAAC